AUUGAACGCUGGCGGCAGGCCUAACACAUGCAAGUCGAGCGGAUGAAGGUAGCUUGCUCCUGGAUUCAGCUGCGGACGGGUGUGUAAUUCCUAGGAAUCUGCCUGGUAUUGUUGGAUAACGUCCGGAAACGGGCGCUAAUACCGCAUACGUCCUUAGUGUGAAAUUUGGGGAUCUUCUGUCCUCACGCUUUCAUAUGUCCCUAGGUCGGAUUAGCUAGUUGGUGGGGUAAAGGCCUACCAAGGCGACGAUCCGUAACUGGUCUGAGAGGAUGAUCAGUAACACUGGAACUGAGACACGGUCCAGACACCUACGGGAGGAAGCAGUGGGGAAUAUUGGACAAAGGGCGAAAGCAUGAUACAGCAAAGCCGCGUGUGUGAAGAAGGUCUUCGGAUUGUAAAGCACGUUAAGUUGGGAGGAAGGGAAGUAAGUUAAUAACUUGCUGGUUUGACGUUACCAACAGAAUAAGCACCGGCUAACUUCGUG
This 484-nucleotide ribosomal RNA is filed under the name uncultured bacterium. RNAcentral's name for it is "partial 16S ribosomal RNA". It matches the Rfam family "Bacterial small subunit ribosomal RNA", at positions 30 to 507 of the family's 1533-position model. The record is from RNAcentral.